Passer domesticus (house sparrow) is the source of this 3556-nucleotide long non-coding RNA. RefSeq lists it as uncharacterized. The transcript has 3 exons. The record is from RefSeq and is a predicted model, not a curated record. NCBI's taxonomy places the organism in Eukaryota, Metazoa, Chordata, Aves, Passeriformes, Passeridae.
GGGUUGAACAGGAUGAGCAGUCAGCUGAAGAUGCCAAUUUCUCUGAACAGGAGUACACAGGUAAGAAGAUUUUUCUAAUCUUUUCAAUGAGAUAAAAGGUUGGAUCUUGGCUGUUCUGCAGGGUAAAGAACUGAAAGCUGUGAACCAACUCCCAGGUAUGGGACUGUGUCUGAAAAGAAUUUGUGGAAAGAGAACAGCCUGAGUACUUGAAGUCGAAGCUUGUAGGUGCAGAAGAAUGGAUUACAAGUGACCUCACCCCUGAUUACAAGUCACAGUUGUACUAAUUACCAAAGAACAGCCUUGCCUUUAAUGGGUGACUAAUAAAGAUAAGGGUGAUGAAAGGGGUGGACCUGUCAAGGAGAGCCUAGAGGACCUAGAGGAGGUGGAGGAGCCCUGAGCAAGAAGGAACAAUCCAGAGAGACACAAAGAAGAAUAAAACAAGGAAGAGAGUUGCUGCUGCAGAAGAUCUGCUGUAAGGUCAGUCUGGAUCUGGUGGAGUUGGAGCCUGCAGCCACAGUCAAGCCAGGUAAAAGCCUGUGGUCAGAGGCAGCAAGGAAAUAUUUGCAGUCAAAUUCCAGCAGGAAUAGCCAGCAGUCAGUCUGUCAGAGAAGCCAACAGCAGGAGCUUGCUGUAGUCAGAGUCAGAAUGGCUGAACUGUAAAGAAGAAUAAACCAGGACCCUUUUCAUGCUGUUAAGUGAGAGUUUGUGUCUUGGCUCAUUUCUACCCCUAACGAGAGGUCUGCUGCAACACCUGAAACUUAAGGAUAUCUGAAGGCAACCAAUAAAGAAGGAAUAAUCUACCUAUUAUCUGAGCUGCAGCACAAAGGAAAAGAAGAGGCCGCCUCCUACCUACAAACUGGAGAGGAAAUGAACACUCCCUUACCUAGAUCUAGUGGUUUACAGGCACAAAAGUAAUUUGUGAUAUAGUCCACCUUGAACUGGGAAUUGAUGGUGAUUCUUUAGGUUUUAAGGUUUUCUAUUCUGUUUUGGUGUGCAGCUUUUAGCUUUAUAUUAAGUGUUACUAGGAUCUUUUUCUUUUGUGGUGAAGACAAAACAGUCCUGUUCCAGCUGGACACUCAAGGACAAGCUCUUCAAACUUCAGGCCCAAAGCACAAACAACAUGAAAAGAGGAAGAUGGGCAGGCAAAGAGGAUGGAACUCCAUAAUUUGAAGCUAUUAAUCAGGCAGUUAACUCCUAUAUGGAAAUGGACUAAAAUUUACAAAAUGUGAGAUCUCAUGACCAAGCUCUCUUUUGCUUCCACCUUGGAGCCAUCCAGGCAGAGCCACGACUGUGGCUCUGGUACUGCCAGGGUGUGGCCUUUGAAGGCACUGCAAUAAAUAUCCACUUUAUUCUUCUUAACUCCCUCUAGCCUCUGUUCCAGCUCCUUAAGGCAUCAAUGGGAUAAUGAUCUGCAAACUUGAUCAUCUUCUUGAGAGCAUCAUAAAUGAAGAUGAAGCUGAUCAGGGAGGAAAAUCCUUCUUUGGUGAAGUACUUGACCAGAAGGUCAUUUUCCUGUCAUCACCUCGCCUGAGUAUUUCACACAGGACUGCCUUCUCCUUCACAAGCUCUUUAUCUUCUCGCAGACUGGAGUGGAGUACAUGCCUGUCUGAUCCAGCAGAAGCUGCUCUCUCCAGUGAGCUGGAAGAAAUAUGGCUAAACCAGAAUUCAGCUGAAAAAUAGGACUUCCUGUAGGUACUGCAACACUGGUUUUUGUAUUGUUGGGAAGACCUAAGAUGCUGUUUUGCUUGGUGCUGCAUUGUUUUGUAUAAUAUGAACCAGACAACUGUUUCUUUGCUACCUCUGCUCCGACGCAUCUUACAUCUUCCUACAAGGUGCCAAAUUAACUCACAAUUAACAAAAAAUGUGAACUUUCAAAGACAUGAGCUGCCCCAGGUGAUAACCCAUUUUUGGCAGAAAUCUUUCUUUUUUUCUUGACUCUAUGAUGAAGUUCCUAAUAUUGAUACUUCAGCAAAUGUCCACAGUCAAAGAGUCUGGGGUUGUUGGGGAAUUUUUGCUUACUUUGGGUUGUUUUAGCUGUUUGUCUGAAGUGUGGUCCAGAAGACCAAAAAUCAGAGCCCAAGUUCCCAUACGUACAAACCAUGGCAGGGGUUGGGCAAUCAUUCAGUCUGUGGGACUGAGUUACUGGUGAUGAAGCACACCCAAAGCAGUUGAAGGACACAGCAGUGGUUGUAGGAGCUUAUCUGAAGUACCUGAUCUUACUGCCCAGCCCUGCUUCCUUCCAAGACACUGUUCCUCCCCAAAAAGUAGAUUUCUAACAGAAUUUCAGAGUGAAGUUGAGUGUGGGAAGAAGGGAGGGUGGAGGGAAUGUGUUUUAAGGUUUGGUUUUCCAUCUCAUCACCCCCACUCUGAUCUGAUUUUCAGUAAACCAAACCAAUUUCCUCGCUCUGAUUUCCUCUCCCCUGUCCAGCUGAGGGGGAAGUGACACAGUGGCUUUGGUGGGCACCUGACAUCCAACCAGGGUCAACCUGUCACAGACAAAAAUACUGGAAAAAGAAAUCUCAGGCUCCAGAUUCACUCAUGAGUCUUUUCCCUUCCCCACAGUCUCCUUGACUGUCUUGGGUGUGUUCAUCCACUUAACCCCAGGGUUUUGGCUUUUAAUUUCCUUUUUCAAAAUUUGUGAUUUUACUUUGCAGUAGGACAAACCACUGUCCCUGUGGAAUUAGCCUGUUUCCUGUGUUACCAAGAUGGAAGAAGUUACAGCUCAAGCACAUAGUUUAUGAUGGGGAAAAAAAAAAAAAGCUGAACUUGCUAUGCCAUGUGGGAGAAAUGGGUUUUAAUAAGGGCAUAAAUUCAAGUCUGCCAAUUCCCUGCUUGAGUUUCUCUCAAUGUCAGCAAAGCACAUUUGUGUUGAACUUUCUCAAUUGCCUCGAGUUCAGGCCAGGAUUAACUUUGUACUAAUCUUCAAAAUUGGGAAUGGCCUUAACAUUUCCUGCAAGGUGAGCUCAGACACAAAUACGGGAAUCAUUUGAAUGUCAUAAAUUACCUCCACUCUCCUCUGUGUGUGUGUGCAUGUAUAAGUAAAUAAACAAGUCCUUAUGUUUUGUCCUUCUAAAGAGCCUGUGGAAGAUUUUUUCAGUGUUAGGCUGACAAAUUGAGUGUUUAAUUUCCAAGAAAUGCAAUCAAAUUUUGCCUGCUUCUAAAUUCCCCUCCUGUUUUUCAGCUUCCUCUCCCUCACUUCACAUUGUCUCCAAGUGCACAACCCAUUUCUGUCCUCUGCAUCCAAUUAUGUGUAUGAUGAAUUUUGAAGCAGGAGAAUCUCAAAUAUAUGAACACUGAACAAAAUUCAGUAAGGUUUUCCAUGGCCUAAAGUAAACCAACCAGUUAGUUACUGCAUAUCUCAUCCAAACUUCAACCUUGCAUAGGCAAACUGCUUCCCAAAAGUGGGAAUCUUUUAAUGCACAAAAACCUAAAUAAAAAGAAAAAACUCUUAUCCUAACUCUUUCAGAUCUAGUGCUACCAGGCAUUCUGUGUCAGGGCUCUGCAAAAAUUUUAUUAUUAAAUUAUAAGUUCAACACAUUCCUUUGCUAGUCAUUCC